CAGCCGCCACGGUAAUACAGAGGGUGCGAGCGUUAAUCGGAUUUACUGGGCGUAAAGCGUGCGUAGGCGGCUUCUUAAGUCGGAUGUGAAAUCCCUGAGCCUAACUUAGGAAUUGCAUUCGAUACUGGGAAGCUAGAGUAUGGGAGAGGAUGGUAGAAUUCCAGGUGUAGCGGUGAAAUGCGUAGAGAUCUGGAGGAAUACCGAUGGCGAAGGCAGCCAUCUGGCCUAAUACUGACGCUGAGGUACGAAAGCAUGGGGAGCAAACAGGAUUAGAUACCCCAGUAGUCCCUGUCUCUUAUAA
Molecule: ribosomal RNA, 301 nt
Filed under: uncultured bacterium
Lineage: Bacteria
Description: partial 16S ribosomal RNA
Rfam family: Bacterial small subunit ribosomal RNA
Source: RNAcentral